UACGGAGGAUCCAAGCGUUAUCCGGAUUUAUUGGGCUUAAAGGGUGCGUAGGCGGAAUGUUAAGUCAGUGGUGAAAGCCUGCAGCUUAACUGUAGAAUUGCCGUUAAUACUGUUGUUCUUGAGUAUAUUUGAUGUGGGCGGAAUGUGUCAUGUAGCGGUGAAAUGCUUAGAUAUGACACAGAACACCGAUUGCGAAGGCAGCUCACAAAGCUAUAACUGACGCUGAGGCACGAAAGCGUGGGGAUCAAACAGG
RNAcentral lists this ribosomal RNA (253 nucleotides) under uncultured bacterium. RNAcentral's name for it is "partial 16S ribosomal RNA". It matches the Rfam family "Bacterial small subunit ribosomal RNA", at positions 524 to 776 of the family's 1533-position model. The record is from RNAcentral.